GGUACCUUUCUACUUGGUUCGCCUUUGAUGUCUGCUCAACAGCUCCAUUCCAGUCACUGAGUCUUCUGUUCAAUUACAAUGGAAGCGAAAUAGGAUUCAGAGUUCUUAGUAUGCUAAGGCUCUGGCGUCUCAGACGAGUCAGCUCGCUAUUUGCGAGGUUCAUUUCCAAUACUAAAUCAUUUACUUUCAAGUUUAAAAGAGUCACCAUUUUAAAGAAGCAGCACAAAUAUUAAUAUAUUUCCCUCAUUGUUACUUUCCUUCAGGCUUGAGAAAGAUAUCCGCUUCAACUAUUUCUGGACACGUUGCACAAAACUCAUUUCGGUAAGUCUCAGAAACAGAGGAAAAUGUUCUAAAAACAGAGAAAGCUCUUUUUUUUUUUAUCUAUAAAAUCUUCUGGCUGAUGAGUUAUAACUUACAACUUACAUUUUUAUAUAUCAGGUCACCCUUUUUGCAGUACAUUGUGCUGGAUGUUUCAACUACCUCAUUGCAGAUCAAUAUCCUGAUCCAACAAAAACAUGGAUUGGAGCUGUGUACCCAAAUUUCAAGGAAGCAAGCGUAUGGAGUAGAUAUGUUACUGCUCUUUACUGGUCAAUUACGACAUUAACAACAACAGGAUAUGGAGACUUACAUGCUGAGAACCCCCGGGAAAUGUUGUUUUUUGUAUUUUUCAUGCUCUUUAACCUGGGUUUCACAUCUUACCUGAUUGGUAAUAUGACCAACCUUGUGGUUCACUGGACUAGCCGCACCAGAACCUUUGUAAGUUCAGUCACUUCCUUUAGGCUUUGCAAGUUUAACCUGCAAAAAAAAUUUUAGUCAUAAUCAUAGGUUAACAUAUGUCAAAGAAGGUCACUAAGCUAGAGAUAUAUGUGAAGAGUACAACAAAAUGAAGGAUUUAUUUGUUCACUUAAACUAAUUAUAAAUCUUUUUCUUUCAAUUCAACAGAGGGAUACUGUUAGAGCUGCUUCAGAGUUUGCAUCAAGAAACCAACUACCACCAAACAUACAAGACCAGAUGCUAUCACAUAUUUGCUUAAAGUUUAAAACAGAGGGACUGAAACAACAAGAAACCUUGAAUGGUUUGCCGAAAGCAAUUCGAUCAAGCAUUGCAAAUUAUCUCUUCUUCCAAAUCGUUCAGGAUGUCUACCUCUUUCAAGGAGUUUCUCGCAACUUCCUAUUUCAGUUGGUAAAACACUCAUUUGUAAACUCCUUCUUGUCCUUUUCUUUCUCUAUGUACCGUUAUAUUUUUCCAUAAAAUUAACCAAGUAGAUAUACCUUUUCCUUUCUGACCAAGGUUUCAGAUAUAGAUGCCGAGUAUUUCCCACCAAGAGAAGAUGUAAUUCUACAGAACGAAGCUCC
Molecule: long non-coding RNA, 1355 nt
Filed under: Capsella grandiflora
Lineage: Eukaryota; Viridiplantae; Streptophyta; Magnoliopsida; Brassicales; Brassicaceae
Description: long non-coding RNA (CGRA_LNC000399)
Source: RNAcentral